Molecule: non-coding RNA, 632 nt
Organism: Pelobates cultripes (western spadefoot toad)
Lineage: Eukaryota; Metazoa; Chordata; Amphibia; Anura; Pelobatidae
Source: the annotation of a GenBank genome assembly
CUUUUAAAUUAGCUACGGUAUGUAUAACACUUGAUGAAAUCUUGGCCAGAAGUAAAAUAAGUUCAAUGUGUCUCCAGAGCUCAAAAUGAUCUACACAAGGCAGAACUGGUAAAAAAAAAAUGUAGGUCAUUUGUGCAAAUAAAAAAUGAAUUAACUCAAUGAGUGCUUAAAACAUCUAGGCAUUUUUUGGCCAACCUAAGAACAUUUAACAUGCUAGACACAACUGCUUUAAUUCACAAAGCUGUAGUUUCCUCAUUGGAACUUUGUGCCUCCAUCUUGGCUCCCUGUCAGUCACUGUUAUUAGUUCUGUCCUUUGCACCUGUCAGUCAGUAUUGACUGAGAAUAGGGAGUUGAGGAGAGACAGAUAUAAUGCUUCUGGAUUUUCUCCCCCAAUGCAACGUGUGCCCUGACUGUGAGUGGAUUGAAGUCAGUCGACAAAUCUGUAAUAUACAUUUAGAAAAAAAAUGAAACAUAAUUAGAAUAUAAAACAAGUUAUAGAAACAUAGAAUGUGAUGGAAGAUAAGAACCAUUCGGCCCAUCUAGUCUGCCCAAUUUUCUAAAUACUUUUAUUAGUCCCUGGUCUUAUUUUAUAGUUAGGAUAGCCUUAUGCCUAUCCCACAUGCUUAAACUCC